Molecule: unclassified non-coding RNA, 343 nt
Filed under: soil metagenome
Description: partial contains 5.8S ribosomal RNA, internal transcribed spacer 2, and large subunit ribosomal RNA
Rfam family: 5.8S ribosomal RNA (bases 1-120)
Source: RNAcentral
GAUGAAGAACGUAGCGAAAUGCGAUAAGUAAUGUGAAUUGCAGAAUCCUGUGAAUCAUCGAAUCUUUGAACGCACAUUGCGCCCGCCAGCAUUCUGGCGGGCAUGCCUGUUCGAGCGUCAUUUCAACCCUCGACCUCCCUUUGGGGAAGUCGGCGUUGGGGACCGGCAGCACACCGCCGGCCCUGAAAUGGAGUGGCGGCCCGUCCGCGGCGACCUCUGCGUAGUAAACCAACUCGCACCGGAACCCCGACGUGGCCACGCCGUAAAACACCCAACUUCUGAACGUUGACCUCGAAUCAGGUAGGACUACCCGCUGAACUUAAGCAUAUCAAUAAGCGGAGGA